AUGGCGCCGCCCCCCGUCGUGGGCUUCUCCGACCUGCCGACGGAGGCGCUGGACGAGAUCGCCCGGCGCGCCGGGCCCCUCGACAACGUUCUCUGCUCCGCCGUCUGCCGGUCAUGGCGCCGCGCGCUCAGGACCACGCGCCUCCGCCGGCUGGGGCGGCAGCCGAGCCUCCCGCACGGCAUAUACAUGUACGAAGGCAGUUACUGGAAGGAGGGGCAGCCCCCGGUCGUCGAAGUCAGCCGGCCGUACUGCAGAGACUCCGGCCGGUGGGCCGUCAAGACCGUCAUGGAGGACGGCGAGGUGGCGCGCGCGCGCAUCAUCGGAAGCUCGUACGGCUGGGUCGUCACCGUCGACAAUGACACGUGGGCCAUGUCCCUGCUCGACCCCUUCACCGGCCGGAGCUUCCCGCUGCCUCCCUUCACGGACUCCUCCCGCGCCGGCAAGCAGCUCUGGUCGGAGUUCCGAUGGGGGCGAGCGAUGUUCCGUAAGGCGGCGCUGGCUCCUGGGCGCCGGCUGGGCACCCACGCCGUGAUGCUCCUCCACAGCGGCGGGCGCUCCUACCUCGCUCCCGGCGCCACGUCGUGGGCGACGCUGCGCCCUCCGAGGGGCAUGCCGCACAAGUACCUGGACGUCAUCUUCUACAGGGGUGCCUUCUACACGGUCAGCUCCUUCGCCGAGGUGAACGCGUGGGUGGCGGACGGCAGCGGCAGCCUGCGGACGAGGAGGCUCACGAGCCCGCGGCGGGAGCAGGUGUGGGCCGUGCUCACCGAGUCCGUGUCCCGCGACGGCGUUCUCAUGGUGAGCAGCACGGACACGCGCGACCACGAUACCUACUUAUCUUAUGGCUUCCGGCAACGACAGUACAGGGUGCACCGCUGCGCGGAGAGGGAGCGCAGGUGGCUUCCCGUGGAGAACCAUGAGCUCGAGGAAAUGACGAUCGUGGUCGGGGGCAGGUGCAGCUUCUGCGUCCCGCGCAGCUACGGCUACGACGUCGGCGACCAUGGCCACCGGAACGGACGUGUGCAGGCGACUUCUUCUCAUUGGUUUCUCCCUUACGUUGCAAGGCUAGACCCAGCUUUCUGGUAG
Molecule: ribosomal RNA, 1086 nt
Filed under: Triticum aestivum (bread wheat)
Lineage: Eukaryota; Viridiplantae; Streptophyta; Magnoliopsida; Poales; Poaceae
Description: partial small subunit ribosomal RNA
Source: RNAcentral